RNAcentral lists this ribosomal RNA (452 nucleotides) under uncultured bacterium. Its description in RNAcentral is "bacterial SSU rRNA". It matches the Rfam family "Bacterial small subunit ribosomal RNA", at positions 30 to 486 of the family's 1533-position model. The record is from RNAcentral.
AUUGAACGCUGGCGGCAUGCCUUACACAUGCAAGUCGAACGGUAACAGCACUUCGGUGGCUGACGAGUGGCGAACGGGUGAGUAAUACAUCGGAACGUGCCCGAGAGUGGGGGAUAACGCAGCGAAAGCUGUGCUAAUACCGCAUACGAUCUACGGAUGAAAGCAGGGGAUUCGCAAGGACCUUGCGCUCAUGGAGCGGCCGAUGGCAGAUUAGGUAGUUGGUGGGAUAAAAGCUUACCAAGCCGACGAUCUGUAGCUGGUCUGAGAGGACGACCAGCCACACUGGGACUGAGACACGGCCCAGACUCCUACGGGAGGCAGCAGUGGGGAAUUUUGGACAAUGGGCGAAAGCCUGAUCCAGCCAUGCCGCGUGGGUGAAGAAGGCCUCGGUGUAAGCCUUUGUCGGUAAGAAAGACACGGAUAAUACCUACGUCGUGAUGACGGUACCGGAA